UGGGUAGCCAAGCCGCGAGGCGGAGCCAAUCCUGAAAGCAGGCCUCAGUUCAGAUUGCAGUCUGCAACUCGACUGCAUGAAGCCGGAGUUGCUAGUAACCGCAGGUCAGCAAUACUGCGUUGAAUACGUUCCCGGGGCUU
This 140-nucleotide ribosomal RNA is filed under the name uncultured Anaerolineaceae bacterium. RNAcentral describes it as "partial 16S ribosomal RNA". It matches the Rfam family "Bacterial small subunit ribosomal RNA", at positions 1243 to 1382 of the family's 1533-position model. The record is from RNAcentral. Lineage: Bacteria; Bacillati; Chloroflexota; Anaerolineae; Anaerolineales; Anaerolineaceae.